AUAUGCUCGAACGUUUCUGAUGGAAAGUACAGUUACGCUAUACGCAUAUUCUGUGAGCAGGAAGCAGGGCUCGCAGACUGCGCUCUGGGGGCGCCGAUGUCGGAUUACUGGUGGUGGUAAGGCCUACCAGCGACGAUCCGUACGGUCUGAAGGAUGAUCGCCACACUGGGACUGAACACGGCAACUCUACGGAGGCACAUGGGGAAUUUGGACAAUGGGCGCAAGCUGAUCCAGCCAUGCCGCGUGAGUGAAGAAGGCCUUCGGGUUGUAAAGCUCUUUCGGCCGGGAAGAAAUCGCAUGGGCGAAUACCUGUGUGGAUGACGGUACCGGAACAAAGAAGCACCGGCUAACUACGUGCCAGCAGCCGCGGUAAUACGUAGGUGCGAGCGUUAUCGGAAUUACUGGGCGUAAAGCGUGCGCAGGCGGUUGGGUAAGUCAGAUGUGAAAUCCCCGGGCUCAACCUGGGAACUGCAUUUGAGACUGCCCAGCUGGAGUUUGGCAGAGGGGGGUGGAAUUCCACGUGUAGCAGUUGGAAAUGCGUAAGAUGUUGGAGGGAACCACCGAUGGCGAAGGCAGACCCCUGGGGCCAAUACUGACGCU
RNAcentral lists this ribosomal RNA (600 nucleotides) under uncultured bacterium. Its description in RNAcentral is "bacterial SSU rRNA". It matches the Rfam family "Bacterial small subunit ribosomal RNA", at positions 173 to 747 of the family's 1533-position model. The record is from RNAcentral.